This 460-nucleotide ribosomal RNA is filed under the name uncultured bacterium. RNAcentral describes it as "partial 16S ribosomal RNA". It matches the Rfam family "Bacterial small subunit ribosomal RNA", at positions 338 to 795 of the family's 1533-position model. The record is from RNAcentral.
CCUACGGGCGGCAGCAGUGAGGAAUAUUGGUCAAUGGACGAGAGUCUGAACCAGCCAAGUAGCGUGAAGGAUGACUGCCCUAUGGGUUGUAAACCUCUUUUAUAUGGGAAUAAAAUGUUCCACGUGUGGGAUUUUGUAUGUACCAUAUGAAUAAGGAUCGGCUAACUCCGUGCCAGCAGCCGCGGUAAUACGGAGGAUCCGAGCGUUAUCCGGAUUUAUUGGGUUUAAAGGGAGCGUAGGUGGAUUGUUAAGUCAGUUGUGAAAGUUUGCGGCGCAACCGUAAAAUUGCAGUUGAAACUGGCAGUCUUGAGUACAGUAGAGGUGGGCGGAAUGCGUGGUGUAGCGGUGAAAUGCUUAGAUAUCACGAAGAACUCCGAUUGCGAAGGCAGCUCACUGGACUGCAACUGACACUGAGGCUCGAAAGUGUGGGUAUCGAACAGGAUUAGAUACCCUUGUAGUC